RNAcentral lists this transfer RNA (74 nucleotides) under Chlamydotis macqueenii (Macqueen's bustard). RNAcentral's name for it is "Chlamydotis undulata macqueenii tRNA". It matches the Rfam family "tRNA". Rfam says of the family: Transfer RNA (tRNA) molecules are approximately 80 nucleotides in length. Lineage: Eukaryota; Metazoa; Chordata; Aves; Otidiformes; Otididae. The record is from Rfam by way of RNAcentral.
GUGUCUGUGGCACAACUGGUUAGCACAUUUGGCUGUUAACUGAAAGGCUGGUAGUUUGAGCCCACCCAGACAUG